ACUGUGAGAUCGGGCCCAAACGGGUGCCGAGUGUCGCGGGAGGCCGAUUGCAAGUGACGACGAGCAAUCGGAACGCAAGUUAAGGUGGGUUGUGUUUACCGAAGCGACUAGGUCGCCCUUUAUGUCUAAGAUGAUUAAGAAUCUAUGUUGAUGCAUAUGAAUGUAAAUGCGGCAUAUAGAUGAUGCAUAUAAAUGUAAAUAAAGCAUGUGGUUGAUUCAUGUAGUUAAUGCAUGUUAAUAAUAUGAUGUAAAUGCUAAGUAGAUCCAUGUAAAAUGAUAUGAUAUAGAAUACAUGCUAGUGAUAAUGCAAAUGAUAUGUAUGUGUGCAUUGGAAUGUAUGCUAGGUGCAUGUAACAUCAUGUGAGCAUGUUAGAUAAGAUGCAUGUGCAUAUGGACUUGAUAUGACAAGUAGGAUAUCAAGUAGAUCGAGUGGCAUUAACCUAGUGUUAACAAACAUA
Molecule: long non-coding RNA, 458 nt
Filed under: Ananas comosus (pineapple)
Lineage: Eukaryota; Viridiplantae; Streptophyta; Magnoliopsida; Poales; Bromeliaceae
Description: long non-coding RNA (ACOM_LNC013647)
Source: RNAcentral